CAACCCACUAACUAAACCUAACUUUAUAAGAAAACUCUAAACCCUAAUCCCCUUUCACUUAUGUUCAGCCGACAUCCCUUAUUCUUCCCUCCCAAAAUUCCUUCUUGCAGCCUUAAUCCCCUUCACAAUUGAAACCACUCCACAAGUUCACUUCCUCUCUCUCUCGGUUAUACCUGCAGACACAAAGAAGUGUGUCUUCUCCAAACACAUAGUCAACCACACCAACCGCACCCCAUCCCCUUGUCUGCUCCGGUCACCGAAGCAGAACCGGUGCCGGUGGUUUUCCGGCCACUCACGCACACCCCGUGUCUCUGAUGAUGAUGAUGCGGCGAUGGUGCAACGAGCGGUGAGAGGAAGGGGAGCUGUCCCUCUCUCCAUCGCCCAAGACGCCGACGAGCUAACGACAAAGCCGUUUUUCCAACCAAACCAGUGGCGGCGGCGGUAGUUUCAUGGCAGAGGCGGCUGUCCAGAUUCCGGUUUCGGGUUCGAGUCAGUCGAUUUCAAUUCAUCGAGUCUCAGUUCGAGGCUCGAUUCAUGCUCGGAGAAGACGACCGGAGAGGAACUCGACGCGACGUUUCUUCUACGUAUUCGGUUGAUGAUUGAUGACACUAUGAAAAUGGAUAGCGAAGAUGCC
This is a long non-coding RNA of Helianthus annuus (common sunflower), 634 nucleotides long. RefSeq lists it as uncharacterized. Lineage: Eukaryota; Viridiplantae; Streptophyta; Magnoliopsida; Asterales; Asteraceae. The transcript is spliced from 2 exons. The record is from RefSeq and is a predicted model, not a curated record.